CGGGAAACUGGGGAUAAUCCCCGAUAGGUCUCGGCUGCUGGAAUGCAUCGAGAUUAAAAGCUCCGGCGCCUAAGGAUGGGUCUGCGGCCUAUCAGGUAGUAGUGGGUGUAGUGUACCUACUAGCCUACGACGGGUACGGGUUGUGAGAGCAAGAGCCCGGAGAUGGAUUCUGAGACACGAAUCCAGGCCCUACGGGGUGCAGCAGGCGCGAAAACUUUACAAUGCUGGCAACAGCGAUAAGGGAACCUCGAGUGCCAGGUUACAAAUCUGGCUGUCGAGAUGCCUAAAAAGCAUUUCAUAGCAAGGGCCGGGCAAGACCGGUGCCAGCCGCCGCGGUAAUA
This 341-nucleotide ribosomal RNA is filed under the name uncultured archaeon. Its description in RNAcentral is "partial 16S ribosomal RNA". It matches the Rfam family "Archaeal small subunit ribosomal RNA", at positions 133 to 475 of the family's 1478-position model. The record is from RNAcentral.